Molecule: ribosomal RNA, 434 nt
Filed under: uncultured bacterium
Lineage: Bacteria
Description: partial 16S ribosomal RNA
Rfam family: Bacterial small subunit ribosomal RNA
Source: RNAcentral
AGCGAACGCUGGCGGCAGGCCUAACACAUGCAAGUCGAACGAACCUUUCGGGGUUAGUGGCGGACGGGGGAGUAAAACGUGGGAACGUGCCUUUAGGUUCGGCAUAACUCAGGGGAACACGUGCUAAUACCGGAGGUGCCCUUCGGGGGGAAGAUUUAUCGCCUUUGGAGCGGCCCGCGUCUGCUUAGCUAGUUGGGUGAGGAGAUGGCUCACCAAGGCGACGAUCGGUAGCUCGUCUGAGAGGAUGAGCAGCCACAUUGGGACUGAGACACGGCCCAAACUCCUACGGGAAGCAGCAGUGGGGAAUCUUGCGCAAUGGGCGAAAGCCUGACGCAGCCAUGCCGCGUGAAUGAUGAAGGUCUUAGGAUUGUAAAAUUCUUUCACCGGGGACGAUAAUGACGGUACCCGGAGAAGAAGCCCCGGCUAACUUCGUG